This 194-nucleotide ribosomal RNA is filed under the name uncultured bacterium. Its description in RNAcentral is "partial 16S ribosomal RNA". It matches the Rfam family "Bacterial small subunit ribosomal RNA", at positions 1307 to 1500 of the family's 1533-position model. The record is from RNAcentral.
GCAACUCGCCUACACGAAGUUGGAAUUGCUAGUAAUCGUGGAUCAGCAUGCCACGGUGAAUACGUUCCCGGGUCUUGUACACACCGCCCGUCACACCAUGGGAGCUGGUAACACCCGAAGUCAGUAGUCUAACCGCAAGGAGGACGCUGCCGAAGGUGGGAUUAGCGACUGGGGUGAAGUCGUAACAAGGUAAC